UAUUCUGGUGUUUUAGGCGUAGAGGGACCACACCAACCCAUCCCGAACUUGGUGGUUAAACUCUACUGCGGUGAUGAUACUGUAGGGGAGGUCCUGUGGAAAAAUAGCCCGACGCCAGAAU
This 121-nucleotide ribosomal RNA is filed under the name Peltoboykinia tellimoides. Lineage: Eukaryota; Viridiplantae; Streptophyta; Magnoliopsida; Saxifragales; Saxifragaceae. The record is from RNAcentral.